This 405-nucleotide ribosomal RNA is filed under the name uncultured bacterium. RNAcentral describes it as "bacterial SSU rRNA". It matches the Rfam family "Bacterial small subunit ribosomal RNA", at positions 32 to 416 of the family's 1533-position model. The record is from RNAcentral.
AAUCAACGCUGGCGGCGUGCCUAACACAUGCAAGUCGAACGCGAAAGCCCCUUCGGGGGUAAGUAGAGUGGCGUCCGGGUGUGUAACACGUAGGUAAUCUACCUUCGGGUGGGGAAGUAACCAGUCGAAAGAUUGGCUAAUACCGCAUAAUGCAGCGGCACCUAAUGGUGAUUAGUUGUUAAAGCGGGGGAGUCGUAAGACCUCGCGCCUGAAGAGGAGCCUGCGGCAGAUUAGCAGUUGGUGAGGUAAUGGCUCACCAAGGCUUCGAUCUGUAGCUGGUCUGAGAGGACGGCCAGCCACACUGGCACUGACACACGGGCCAGACUCCUACGGGAGGCAGCAGUGGGGAAUUUUGGGCAAUGGGCGAAAGCCUGAUCGAGCGACGCCGCGUGCGGGAUGAAGUCC